RNAcentral lists this unclassified non-coding RNA (400 nucleotides) under uncultured Sphingobacteriales bacterium. RNAcentral describes it as "contains 16S-23S intergenic spacer region". The record is from RNAcentral. Lineage: Bacteria; Pseudomonadati; Bacteroidota; Sphingobacteriia; Sphingobacteriales.
GUCAAUUCAUUUAAGUUUCACCGUUGCCGGCGUACUCCCCAGGUGGAUUACUUAUCGCUUUCGCUUGGUCGCUGACGGUCAUAUUGCCAACAACGAGUAAUCAUCGUUUACGGUGCGGACUACCAGGGUAUCUAAUCCUGUUUGAUCCCCGCACUUUCGUGCCUCAGCGUCAGUUAUAGUUUCGUUAGCUGCCUUCGCAAUCGGUGUUCUAUGACAUAUCUAAGUAUUUCACCACUACAUGUCAUAUUCCGCCAACGUCAUCUAUACUCUAGACUUGCAGUAUCAAUGGCAGUUUCUUUGUUAAGCAAAGAGAUUUCACCACUGACUUACAGGUCCGCCUACGCACCCUUUAAACCCAAUGAAUCCGGAUAACGCUUGCAUCCUUCGUCUUACCGCGGCU